Molecule: ribosomal RNA, 466 nt
Filed under: uncultured bacterium
Lineage: Bacteria
Description: bacterial SSU rRNA
Rfam family: Bacterial small subunit ribosomal RNA
Source: RNAcentral
GCCAGACUCCUACGGGAGGCAGCAGUGAGGAAUAUUGGUCGAUGGGCGGGAGCCUGAACCAGCCAAGUCGCGUGAGGGAAGACGGUCCUACGGAUUGUAAACCUCUUUUGCCGGGGAGCAACGGGGUCCUUGCGAGGGCCCGAUGAGAGUACCCGGAGAAAAAGCAUCGGCUAACUCCGUGCCAGCAGCCGCGGUAAUACGGAGGAUGCGAGCGUUAUCCGGAUUUACUGGGUGUAAAGGGAGCGCAGGCGGCGCGCCAAGUCUGGUGUGAAACCCCGGGGCUCAACCCCGGGACUGCAUUGGAAACUGGCGGGCUGGAGUGUCGGAGGGGCAGGCGGAAUUCCUGGUGUAGCGGUGAAAUGCGUAGAUAUCACGCAGAACCCCGAUUGCGAAGGCAGCAUACCGGCGCCCUACUGACGCUGAGGCACGAAAGUGCGGGUAUCGAACAGGAUUAGAUACCCCAGUA